AGUAGAAUUGUUAGUUGUAUGGUAACUUUGUGUUUUGCUUUUUGAGAAACCACUAAACUGUUUUCCACAGUGUUCACCAUUUUACUUUCCUAUCAGCAAU
RNAcentral lists this microRNA precursor (100 nucleotides) under Marmota monax (woodchuck). Lineage: Eukaryota; Metazoa; Chordata; Mammalia; Rodentia; Sciuridae. The record is from RNAcentral.